GUUUUACUGGACGGAGGAGGUCCUGCCUGCCCCGUGACCAUGUGUUUAACGGCCGCGGUAUUUUCACCGUGCGAAGGUAGCGCAAUCACUUGUCUUUUAAAUAAAGACCUGUAUGAAUGGCAAGACGAGGGCUUAACUGUCUCCUUUUUUAAGUCAGUGAAAUUGAUCUUCCCGUGCAGAAGCGGGAAUUCCCCCAUAAGACGAGAAGACCCUAUGGAGCUUCAGACACUAAGACAGAUCACGUCAAAACCCCCUGAUAAAGGACUGAACUCAAUGGUUCCUGCCCUAAUGUCUUCGGUUGGGGCGACCUCGGGGAAAUACAAAACCCCCGCGUGGAAUGAGAGCACCUCCCCCUCCCCCCAUUGCUCCCACAACUCAGAGCCUCCGCUCUACAAAACAGAAUUUCUGACCAAUACAGAUCCGGCAACGCCGAUCAACGGACCAAGUUACCCUAGGGAUAACAGCGCAAUCCUCUUUUACAGCCCAUAUCGACAAGAGGGUUUACGACCUCGAUGUUGGAUCAGGACAUCCUGGUGCAGCCGCUAUUUAGGGUUCGUUUGUUCAACGAUUAAAGUCCUACGUGAUCUGGGUUUCAAAACCGA
This 602-nucleotide ribosomal RNA is filed under the name Protonibea diacanthus. RNAcentral describes it as "partial large subunit ribosomal RNA". It matches the Rfam family "Bacterial large subunit ribosomal RNA", at positions 1832 to 2622 of the family's 2925-position model. The record is from RNAcentral. Lineage: Eukaryota; Metazoa; Chordata; Actinopteri; Sciaenidae.